GAGAAACUGGGAUCAGGUUCUGGAGGCCAAGUGCCUGCCAAUUACCUGAACAAAGGCAGGACCUAGGAUCAGAGGACAGCAGCCACCAAGGUGUGUGUGACUACAGGAGGAAGGAAGAGCCAGCAGCAUUAGAAAGCAGAGCCCUAGGGAUUACGUGUCCUGUGGAGUUGGCGGGAAGCUGGUGGAUCCUGCUCAACCUGAUCUGGUGACCACAGGAGCUGUGCCAGCCCUGGCUCAGGACCACAGAUGACUUUGGCUUGGCACAGUGGAAAGAGCAGCAGAUUUGGAAUAUUGACACUUGGAUUGGAAUCCCGGAGGUGGCUCUAGUCAGCUGUGUGACUUUGCAAUGUCUUAGAAGUCUCAGUUUACUUAUGGUAAGAUGGGCUAAUAAAUGUACCUCAGAAGGUCAUGAGAAUGGAAGAAUAUUAUGAAAGGCAAGAUUUGGGCACCUAUGUGGCAUAUAACAGGGAUUAUAGAAACUAACAUGUCAAGCACCAGGCGUUGACUGAACCCCUACUGGAAUCUUCCAUGUUAAGAUGAUUGUCCCUGGUCACUGUUGCCCUAUCUUAAAUAAUCCAUUCCCCCAACAAACAUUUACUGAGAUGAAAUGUAUGUCAAGCAUCAAGAAUGUUCUGGAAUACAGACCAGAAUAAGAUGGGCCAUUGUCUUUGCAGAGCUCUCAAUCAAUAUGCAUGGAGAUACUUCUCCAGCUUCAUCUCCCAGAUUGAAAUACUGGAAACAAUCUGAAGGCCCGGCAAUAAGGGAUAGGUGAAGUAGCUGACAGUUGGUUCACACAAAGGAGCAUUAUUGGGUACCAAUACUGACAGCCUCUCACGAUGUGAUAUUAAUUGAAACAAGC
RNAcentral lists this long non-coding RNA (859 nucleotides) under Marmota monax (woodchuck). The record is from RNAcentral. Lineage: Eukaryota; Metazoa; Chordata; Mammalia; Rodentia; Sciuridae.